UUCCUACGGGACGCAGCAGUGAGGAAUAUUGGUCAAUGGGCGGGAGCCUGAACCAGCCAAGUCGCGUGAGGGAAGACGGUCCUAUGGAUUGUAAACCUCUUUAGGCGGGGAGCAAUGCCGGGCACGCGCGCCCGGAGGGAGAGUACCCGCAGAAUAAGCAUCGGCUAACUCCGUGCCAGCAGCCGCGGGAAUACGGAGGAUGCGAGCGUUAUCCGGAUUUAUUGGGUUUAAAGGGUGCGUAGGCGGAUUUUUAAGUCAGCGGCAAAAUGUCCGUGCUUAACCCGGGCCGGCCGUUGAAAUUGGGG
This 305-nucleotide ribosomal RNA is filed under the name uncultured bacterium. Its description in RNAcentral is "bacterial SSU rRNA". It matches the Rfam family "Bacterial small subunit ribosomal RNA", at positions 336 to 638 of the family's 1533-position model. The record is from RNAcentral.